This 125-nucleotide small RNA is filed under the name Marmota monax (woodchuck). The record is from RNAcentral. Lineage: Eukaryota; Metazoa; Chordata; Mammalia; Rodentia; Sciuridae.
GCCGGGUGCAGUGGUGCACACCUGUCAUCCCAGCAGCUCAGGAGGCUGAGGCAGGAGGAUCACGAGUUCAAAGCCAGCCUCAGCCAAAGUGAGGUGCUAAGCAACUCAGUGAGACCCUGUCUCUA